AGCUCCUGAGCUUCUUCAUUGUCGCAUAAAUCUUCCGCCUUUUACCAAAGAUUUCGCGGAGUGGAGCUUAAUGCAGUGACCUGUAUUUUUUGGGGGGCUCUGGUUUCAUGCCAAGGC
Cyprinus carpio (common carp) is the source of this 117-nucleotide small nuclear RNA. RefSeq annotates it as U5 spliceosomal RNA. Lineage: Eukaryota; Metazoa; Chordata; Actinopteri; Cypriniformes; Cyprinidae. The record is from RefSeq and is a predicted model, not a curated record. The transcript has a single exon.